CCGGCCCGACGACCGCGGGGAAAGCAGGCGCCCCGGGGCCGCUCGCGCCCGGACUCGCGGCGUCGGCAGCCCAGGGCCCGUCCCCUCCCCGCCACGCCCGCCUACCCGCUGCUCCCGCCACUGCUCGGCACGGCUUGCCAAUCCCAGCCGCUUCGGGAGGCCGCGGCCCGGAGGACGCCGGGGGAAGGCCAUGCGGGUUUUUUUGCUUUGAAAAGUGCUUCUGUGUGGUAAUAAAUGAGCUCCUGCUUGACUUGACUCCCCACAGCCUCUGAUUGUCUCUGAGGCUAAGGGAGGGGAAAGACCCGACACCUGGUGUCCAACGUGGGGCCCGAAAGGAAAAUAUAUCAGCCGAGGCUAAGCGGUCUCUCAGGUCUGUGUAGGAAUUUGCAGCCCAGCAUGAGGUGUGACAG
This is a long non-coding RNA of Dipodomys spectabilis (banner-tailed kangaroo rat), 410 nucleotides long. RefSeq lists it as uncharacterized. NCBI's taxonomy places the organism in Eukaryota, Metazoa, Chordata, Mammalia, Rodentia, Heteromyidae. The transcript is spliced from 3 exons. The record is from RefSeq and is a predicted model, not a curated record.